Molecule: ribosomal RNA, 557 nt
Filed under: Wickerhamiella drosophilae
Lineage: Eukaryota; Fungi; Ascomycota; Dipodascomycetes; Dipodascales; Trichomonascaceae
Description: LSU rRNA
Rfam family: Eukaryotic large subunit ribosomal RNA
Source: RNAcentral
AAACCAACAGGGAUUGCCUUAGUAGCGGCGAGUGAACCGGCAAAAGCUCAAAUUUGAAAUCUGCCAGCAAUGGCCGAGUUGUAAUUUGUAGAUGGUAACUCUGUAAGAAGUCUUUGCUCAAGUUUCCUGGAACGGAACGCCAAGGAGGGUGACAGCCCCGUGAGGCAUUGACGUACUUGCGUGUAGAGUGCUAUCGAAGAGUCGAGUUGUUUGGGAAUGCAGCUCAAAGUGGGUGGUAAGUUCCAUCUAAAGCUAAAUAUUGGCGAGAGACCGAUAGCGAACAAGUACUGUGAAGGAAAGAUGAAAAGCACUUUGAAAAGAGAGUGAAAUAGUACGUGAAAUUGUUAAUAUGGAAGGAUAUAAAACUAGACACGGAGUUUUGAGUUCUGCAGUCCCUCGGGAUUGUUUUGUCUCUUAGUUCCACACCAGCAUCAGUUUUGGCAGGAGGAUAAACAAUACGGAAUGUAGCUGUUCGCAGUGUUAUAGACGUGUUGCAUACUCUUAGCCGGGACUGAGGUCAGCCUUUGUAGGAUGCUGGGGUAAUGGUUUUAUAUCAC